RNAcentral lists this unclassified non-coding RNA (325 nucleotides) under Melampsora sp. Its description in RNAcentral is "partial contains 5.8S ribosomal RNA, internal transcribed spacer 2, and large subunit ribosomal RNA". Lineage: Eukaryota; Fungi; Basidiomycota; Pucciniomycetes; Pucciniales; Melampsoraceae. RNAcentral also lists the same sequence under 1 other name. The record is from RNAcentral.
AACGCACUUUGCACCUUUUGGUUAUUCCGAAAGGUACGCCUGUUUGAAUGUCACAAAACUCCCCUCGGCUUUAACACUUUCUAAAAGGGUUAUUGACGGAUUCUGAGUGUUGGCGUGUCAACGCCUCGCUUUAAAUAUAUCAGCACUUUUGGAUGGUUCCAUGUUAGUUCAAAAGACGUACUUGAUGUCGUAUUUAUACAAUUCAUCGAGAUGGUCUUUGGUCGUAUCGACUAUCCGCUAAUAUGAUGACUUGAAGAAUAGCUUCCUAACCCCAUUAAAUUUACCUUUAGACUUCAAAUCAGGUGGGACUACCCGCUGAACUUAA